CGCGGGGGGAGCAAGCGUUGUUCGGAAUCACUGGGCGUAAAGGGCGUGUAGGCGGUUGGGUAAGUGGAAUGUGAAAUGCCCCGGCUCACCCGGGGACCGGCAUUCCAAACUGCUCAGCUCGAGUAUGGGAGAGGAUGAGGGAAUUCCUGGUGUAGCGGUGAAUUGCGUAGAUAUCAGGAGGAACACCGGUGGCGAAAGCGCUCAUCUGGCCCAAUACUGACGCUGAGGCGCGAAAGCUAGGGGAGCAAACGGG
Molecule: ribosomal RNA, 253 nt
Filed under: uncultured bacterium
Lineage: Bacteria
Description: partial 16S ribosomal RNA
Rfam family: Bacterial small subunit ribosomal RNA
Source: RNAcentral